UACGUAGGGUGCGAGCGUUGUCCGGAAUUAUUGGGCGUAAAGAGCUCGUAGGCGGUGUGUCACGUCGGCCGUGAAAACCUGCAGCUUAACUGUGGGCGUGCGGUCGAUACGGGCAUCACUGGAGUUCGGCAGGGGAGACUGGAAUUCCUGGUGUAGCGGUGAAAUGCGCAGAUAUCAGGAGGAACACCGGUGGCGAAGGCGGGUCUCUGGUCCACAACUGACGCUGAGGUGCGAAAGCUAGGGGAGCAAACGGG
RNAcentral lists this ribosomal RNA (254 nucleotides) under uncultured bacterium. RNAcentral describes it as "partial 16S ribosomal RNA". It matches the Rfam family "Bacterial small subunit ribosomal RNA", at positions 524 to 776 of the family's 1533-position model. The record is from RNAcentral.